UUAAGGCUGAGACACGACGUCGAGCACCUACGGGUGUGAAGUCAUUGAUGCCAUGCUUCCAGGAAAAGCCUCUAAGCUUCAGAUUGUAAGGAAUCGUACCCCAAACCGACACAGGUGGUCGGGUAGAGAAUACCAAGGCGCUUGAGAGAACUCGGGUGAAGGAACUAGGCAAAAUGGUACCGUAACUUCGGGAGAAGGUACGCUCUCGACGGUGAAGUCCCUUGCGGAUGGAGCUAUUGAGAGUCGCAGAUACCAGGUGGCUGCAACUGUUUAUUAAAAACACAGCACUGUGCAAAAUCGUAAGAUGACGUAUACGGUGUGACGCCUGCCCGGUGCCGGAAGGUUAAUUGAUGGGGUUAGACUUCGGUCGAAGCUCUUGAUCGAAGCCCCGGUAAACGGCGGCCGUAACUAUAACGGUCCUAAGGUAGCGAAAUUCCUUGUCGGGUAAGUUCCGACCUGCACGAAUGGCGUAAUGAUGGCCACGCUGUCUCCACCCGAGACUCAGUGAAAUUGAAAUCGCUGUGAAGAUGCAGUGUACCCGCGGCUAGACGGAAAGACCCCGUGAACCUUUACUACAGCUUGGCACUGAACAUUGACCCUACAUGUGUAGGAUAGGUGGGAGGCUUUGAAGCACGUACGCCAGUAUUUGUGGAGCCGUCCUUGAAAUACCACCCUUGUAGUGUUGAUGUUCUAACGUCGACCCCUUAUCGGGGUUGCGGACAGUGCCUGGUGGGUAGUUUGACUGGGGCGGUCUCCUCCCAAAGAGUAACGGAGGAGCACGAAGGUGGGCUAAUCACGGUUGGACAUCGUGAGGUUAGUGCAAUGGCAUAAGCCCGCUUGACUGCGAGAAUGACAAUUCGAGCAGGUGCGAAAGCAGGUCAUAGUGAUCCGGUGGUUCUGAAUGGAAGGGCCAUCGCUCAACGGAUAAAAGGUACUCCGGGGAUAACAGGCUGAUACCGCCCAAGAGUUCAUAUCGACGGCGGUGUUUGGCACCUCGAUGUCGGCUCAUCACAUCCUGGGGCUGAAGUCGGUCCCAAGGGUAUGGCUGUUCGCCAUUUAAAGUGGUACGCGAGCUGGGUUUAGAACGUCGUGAGACAGUUCGGUCCCUAUCUGCCGUGGGCGUUGGAAGAUUGAAGGGGGCUGCUCCUAGUACGAGAGGACCGGAGUGGACGAACCUCUGGUGUUCGGGUUGUGUCGCCAGACGCAUUGCCCGGUAGCUAAGUUCGGAAUCGAUAACCGCUGAAAGCAUCUAAGCGGGAAGCGAGCCCUGAGAUGAGUCUUCCCUGAUACUUUAAGUAUCCUAAAGGGUUGUCGGAGACUACGACGUUGAUAGGUCAGGUGUGUAAGUGCUGUGAGGCAUUGAGCUAACUGAUACUAAUUGCCCGUGAGGCUUAACCAUACAACACCCAAGGGGUUU
RNAcentral lists this ribosomal RNA (1417 nucleotides) under Vibrio parahaemolyticus. RNAcentral's name for it is "bacterial LSU rRNA". It matches the Rfam family "Bacterial large subunit ribosomal RNA", at positions 1550 to 2925 of the family's 2925-position model. Lineage: Bacteria; Pseudomonadati; Pseudomonadota; Gammaproteobacteria; Vibrionales; Vibrionaceae. The record is from RNAcentral.